UGCCGGCGAGCGGCGGACGGGUGAGUAAUGCCUGGGGAUCUGCCCAGUCGAGGGGGAUAACUACUGGAAACGGUAGCUAAUACCGCAUACGCCCUACGGGGGAAAGCAGGGGACCUUCGGGCCUUGCGCGAUUGGAUGAACCCAGGUGGGAUUAGCUAGUUGGUGGGGUAAUGGCUCACCAAGGCGACGAUCCCUAGCUGGUCUGAGAGGAUGAUCAGCCACACUGGAACUGAGACACGGUCCAGACUCC
Molecule: ribosomal RNA, 250 nt
Filed under: uncultured bacterium
Lineage: Bacteria
Description: partial 16S ribosomal RNA
Rfam family: Bacterial small subunit ribosomal RNA
Source: RNAcentral